RNAcentral lists this long non-coding RNA (2767 nucleotides) under Homo sapiens (human). RNAcentral's name for it is "HSALNT0122374". The record is from RNAcentral. Lineage: Eukaryota; Metazoa; Chordata; Mammalia; Primates; Hominidae.
GCAAAAAACCUUCAACAAAUGACCAAAAUAGCCAUAUCAACUCCUUAUAAAUUGGUUAAGAAAUAUAAAUUAUGUGAAAUGAGUAAUAAAACAAGUAAUUAAAUAAUAAAGCUAAAUAAAGUGUCAUGUGCGAUGAAUGUGACAGAGAUUAAAACCAUGUAAAAAACUUUAAGAGAUAAGGAGUAGCUCCUCUUGGGACAUGAUCUUGGAGCCUGUAGCCACAAUGUAAGCCCAGCUACACAGAGGCUGUGAUGUGUAAAGAAUGUGUGAAGAGAUCACGUGGAGAGAGACAAAGAUAGACAGAGCUGGGGAGAGAGGGCAGGAGACAGAGAGAGAGGGACAGACCAGUAGAGAGCUCAAGCUCAAGGAAGCCCAGAGUUCCAGCCUCUAGAUGCGUGAUGUGCCCCAGUCCAGACACCAGACAUGGGAGUGAAGAAGCCUGAAAGACAGCCCUAGCCACCAUCUCACUACAAAAGCAUAAGAGACCCCAAGUGAGAACCACCUGGCUGAGCCCCACUGAUCUGCAGAUUCUAAGCAAGAUAUACAAUGGUCAUCGUUUGAAGCCCCUGCAUAUGGAUUGCUUGUCACAGAGCUGAAGACAGCCAGAGCAGACUUGCAUACCUGGGAGUGGAGUGCUAAUUCACAAAGCCCAAGACUUGUGAGUGAGAUGGUGGCUCUGCAAGCAGGAGCUUCUCUCCAGCUGACGGCAGAAGAGGAAGUUGGAGGGAUGCGCUCUGGUGAGCCUGGCAGAACGCCCAUAUCUGUGCUGCAAACUUCCCUCCAGGACCACUUGACAAGGAACCGUGGGCAUCAUUCAAGGAGCUGAGAGCUAAUGGAAGAACAGACGCUUCAGCCCCACACCCGCGCAGAGAUGAAUUCUGCCAGCAACACUGCACUUGGAAGAGGACCCUGAUCCCCCAUGAGAACCUGGCCCUGGCCCCAUGAGUCCCUGUGCAGAGAACCUGUCAGCCUGGGCCUGGACUCAGGACCCAAGGAGACUGUGAGAUAAUAAAUAGGUGUUGUUCUAAGCCACUAAUUUGUUGUAAUUUGUUCCAAAGCAGAAAUUGGAAUGAGGACACUAUUCGGCUCCAGAAACGUGUCACUCCCUAUGGAAGAAGAAGGGUUACUCCGAGCCCAGAGGGUGAAGCCAGAAUGGGCCCUAGUCUGUGGACUGUGAGUGUCUGAUGCAUCUCCACGUGAUAUGGACCAGGAACUGCUGUGCCCACUCCCCCAUUUCUCCCUUUUUCAGCUUGAGAGUUUAUUGGGGCCAUCUUAUUUCUGCCCUGCAGUUGUAAGUUAAGUGAGUGAGGGACAGAGACACUGCCUCUUCUGUGGUUUUCGUUUCUCUCCAGAUGGAGAGAAACUAGAUCUGAGGAACCUCAAGCCAGAAACCUCACCUGUAUCGCAAACUGAUUCAGGCAAUAAUGAGGCUUUGGGGGAAUUUGGCAGGGGUGGAUACCAUUUUCAUGCGGGAGGAACGUACAUGAUUUGUGGCCAGAUGUCUGACUCUGGUGACUUAAAAUCCUGUCUGGAAAUUCUCUAACAUCCCACCCAAUAUGAGGUGGUCUCUGUCUCCUCCCUCAGCUCUAGAGGUUGGGGGGCCUCCUAACUGCUCCCAGAUAGAAGAAAUGGUGCUGUGUUUGAGGAGGCCACAUCCCUGCCAGCUUCCCUUGUCACCCUCUUUCUCCUUUAGCCAUGCAAGAAGCAUCCCCAGUCUGAGUUCACCAAAUGGAGAGGUUACCUGGGGUCCCUGGAGAGAGAGAGAGUAAGGAGGCCCCUCUACCUCAGCAGCCCUGAGCCUUCUUAAUCCAGGAUGAGAAUGGGGGGUUAGGGUGACAUUGAGAAGACCCUGACCCCCGCCACCGUCUUAUGCAACAGCGAAUGCAGAAUGAAAACAGCCUCGCUGAGCCUUGCUAGGCCUCACACUCAAGAGCAAAAUCAGUGAUCUCUAUUUUUUAAAUGAAAAAUCAAAGUCGAGGAGUGACAAUUAGACAAUUGAACUGUCACCUAAGAGGAUUUCCAGCAUAUCGAAGACAUGGAAGGGGAGGAUCCCAUUGAACAGGAGAAAGACCUACUGCUUAAACUGAAAUGACAUUCAAAGUGUAAGCCAAAAAAAAAAAUUCAGGGGGACAUGUUGAGCUAUAUUUCGGUGAGAAUUCUGGUCUCUAAGGAUAAAAGAAAACAUCCUUUGCUCCCUGGCUCCAUCAGGAACAAGGAGGCAGACAGGCUGUGCCAUUCCUUCUUCACUGGCACCUGUUCCCAUGCCACACCUCCGUCCUGAGCAGGUUUUGUUUACUGGGGGACAUCAUCAAUUAUUUUGGAUAGGAUAUCAUUGCAGAAAUCUCCUUUCAGUCUUUGCAUCUUCAUUCAUGCUUUAAAAACAAGACAGGCUCAAUCACUGGUAGAAAAAUAGAGCAAUAAGAAAAUGAAAAUUGGAUAAAAUUAAUUUCCCUUAUUGGAGGCACCUGGGCAUGGCCACCAGGUUUUCCCCAGAAACGCUGGGAGAGGGUCUCUGCCCAGACCCCAGGCGAAGAGCAGAGCCAAACCUUCUCUGCAUUGCAUUUGCCUCCUUAUCUCUCAGCUCUUUCCCUGUGGCUAAGCCUAGAGCCCCUCUGACUUCUCCCCCAUUUGUGGGGCCUCAGGGGCUGGGCUUUCCUCUCCCUUUACUCCAUUUCCUAACUUUCUAUCCUGUGUUAUAGUAAAACUAUGAUAGGCGUAAGCAGAUUUUAUCUUAAAAUCCUAUUGGAGCCAAGAAAUUUAGAAUACC